UAGGAUAUAGCAUAGUAAAAUGUUUUUUAUUUACACUGAAAAGAGGGUUGAUUAGACCUAUCCUAA
Molecule: non-coding RNA, 66 nt
Organism: Liolophura sinensis
Lineage: Eukaryota; Metazoa; Mollusca; Polyplacophora; Chitonida; Chitonidae
Source: the annotation of a RefSeq genome assembly